Molecule: ribosomal RNA, 271 nt
Filed under: uncultured bacterium
Lineage: Bacteria
Description: partial 16S ribosomal RNA
Rfam family: Bacterial small subunit ribosomal RNA
Source: RNAcentral
UACGUAGGGGGCGAGCGUUAUCCGGAUUCAUUGGGCGUAAAGGGCGCGUAGGCGGCGGCCAGCAGUGGCCCGUGGAAUCUCCCCGCUCACCGGGGAGGGGCCGGGCCAGACGGGGCCGCUUGGGGCAGGUAGAGGAUCGCGGAACGGGCGGAGUAGGGGUGAAAUCCGUAGAGACCGUCCGGAACACCGGUGGCGAAGGCGGCGAUCUGGACCUGAACACUCCCGCAAGGGAGCCCGACGCUGAGGCGCGAAAGCGUGGGGAGCGAACGGA